This 75-nucleotide antisense RNA is filed under the name Streptomyces albus. RNAcentral describes it as "ASpks TB sRNA". It matches the Rfam family "ASpks TB sRNA". Lineage: Bacteria; Bacillati; Actinomycetota; Actinomycetes; Kitasatosporales; Streptomycetaceae. The record is from RNAcentral.
CUUGACCGACCCCAGCCACAACGGCUGCUCGGCCGGACGGUCCUGGCCGUAGGUGGCCAGCAGUGCCUGCGCCUC